GUGGCCUAGGCCGAACCGGUUGAGGCGCCGGGUUGUGAUCCCGGAUAAGUGGGUUCGAGUCCCACAGGUCACU
Molecule: transfer RNA, 73 nt
Filed under: Nocardia terpenica
Lineage: Bacteria; Bacillati; Actinomycetota; Actinomycetes; Mycobacteriales; Nocardiaceae
Rfam family: tRNA
About the family: Transfer RNA (tRNA) molecules are approximately 80 nucleotides in length. Their secondary structure includes four short double-helical elements and three loops (D, anti-codon, and T loops).
Source: Rfam by way of RNAcentral